CCAAGCUGUCCCUUUGUGAAAGCAAGUGGCAUUUGAAGGAUACCACCACUUGGGGCAAAGUGCAGCUUUACACCAGUGUUCUGGCUCUGGGAAAAUGAGGACAUCUGCCUUUAUGCACAUGCAGCUGCUCUCUCUGCAGAGCAGAAUCCUGCACCCCACCCCAACACGCUGGAAAGUUGGCCAAGCAUGGAGACUUUCUUUGGCACAGACAUUUUCAACUGGAAUGGUUACAGCUGCUAUAGCGUGCUGCCUUUUGAGCUGAUGCACAGUUUUCCCUUGCCUGUCUUCACUUCCAAUCCCUUGUCUUAAACAAUGUUGAGCCAAGUCUGAAGCAGA
Taeniopygia guttata (zebra finch) is the source of this 336-nucleotide non-coding RNA. Lineage: Eukaryota; Metazoa; Chordata; Aves; Passeriformes; Estrildidae. The record is from RefSeq and is a predicted model, not a curated record.